This 113-nucleotide ribosomal RNA is filed under the name Macleaya cordata. The record is from RNAcentral. Lineage: Eukaryota; Viridiplantae; Streptophyta; Magnoliopsida; Ranunculales; Papaveraceae.
GGGUUUGAUCAUACCAGCACUAAUUCACUGGAUUCCAUCAGAACUCCGCAGCUAAGUGUGCUUGGGCAAGAGUAGUACUAUAAUGUUUAUCGAAAGAACACCCUUUUAGCUCU